CCUACGGGGGGCAGCAGUAGGGAAUCUUCCACAAUGGGCGAAAGCCUGAUGGAGCAACGCCGCGUGGGUGAAGAAGGUCUUCGGAUCGUAAAACCCUGUUGUUAGAGAAGAAAGUGCGUGAGAGUAACUGUUCACGUUUCGACGGUAUCUAACCAGAAAGCCACGGCUAACUACGUGCCAGCAGCCGCGGUAAUACGUAGGUGGCAAGCGUUAUCCGGAUUUAUUGGGCGUAAAGGGAACGCAGGCGGUCUUUUAAGUCUGAUGUGAAAGCCUUCGGCUUAACCGGAGUAGUGCAUUGGAAACUGGGAGACUGGAGUGCAGAAGAGGAGAGUGGAACUCCAUGUGUAGCGGUGAAAUGCGUAGAUAUAUGGAAGAACACCAGUGGCGAAAGCGGCUCUCUGGUCUGUAACUGACGCUGAGGUGCGAAAGCGUGGGUAGCAAACAGGAUUAGAUACCCUAGUAGUC
This 465-nucleotide ribosomal RNA is filed under the name uncultured bacterium. RNAcentral describes it as "partial 16S ribosomal RNA". It matches the Rfam family "Bacterial small subunit ribosomal RNA", at positions 338 to 795 of the family's 1533-position model. The record is from RNAcentral.